RNAcentral lists this ribosomal RNA (500 nucleotides) under uncultured bacterium. RNAcentral's name for it is "partial 16S ribosomal RNA". It matches the Rfam family "Bacterial small subunit ribosomal RNA", at positions 30 to 523 of the family's 1533-position model. The record is from RNAcentral.
AUUGAACGCUGGCGGCAUGCUUUACACAUGCAAGUCGAACGGUAACAGGGAGCUUGCUCCGCUGACGAGUGGCGAACGGGUGAGUAAUAUAUCGGAACGUACCCAAGAGUGGGGGAUAACGUAGCGAAAGUUACGCUAAUACCGCAUACGAUCUAUGGACGAAAGUGGGGGAUCGCAAGACCUCAUGCUCCUGGAGCGGCGGAUAUCUGAUUAGCUAGUUGGUGAGGUAAAGGCUCACCAAGGCGACGAUCAGUAGCUGGUCUGAGAGGACGACCAGCCACACUGGAACUGAGACACGGUCCAGACUCCUACGGGAGGCAGCAGUGGGGAAUUUUGGACAAUGGGCGCAAGCCUGAUCCAGCAAUGCCGCGUGAGUGAAGAAGGCCUUCGGGUUGUAAAGCUCUUUUGUCAGGGAAGAAACGGGAGUGGCUAAUAUCCAUUCCUAAUGACGGUACCUGAAGAAUAAGCACCGGCUAACUACGUGCCAGCCGCCGCAGUAA